AACGCAAAUUGCACUCUCUGGUAUUCCGGGGAGUAUGCCUGUUUGAGGGUCGCUUAAUAAACAUCGAUUUUCAUUGCUUUUUUUAAAGUGAAUGUUUAUCGGAUUUGAGCCGUCUUUUUUUAUAUAUAUAUAUUUACAUAUUUAUUUAAAAAGUGGCUUAAAAUUGAUUUUUCUGGUAUGAUCAAAGCGUAUUUUAUGAUCAAUUUUUGGUUAAGGAAACGCACACGUACCACAAUCAUUCAUAUGAUGUAAUACGUUUGACUAUUGGAUUUUUAGUUCAUUCGUAUACGAUAUUUUUCAAAUUUUGACCUCAAAUCAGGUAAGAACACCCGCUGAACUUAA
RNAcentral lists this unclassified non-coding RNA (342 nucleotides) under uncultured Glomeraceae. Its description in RNAcentral is "sequence contains ITS2". The stretch from base 1 to 52 matches the Rfam family "5.8S ribosomal RNA", at positions 103 to 154 of the family's 154-position model. The record is from RNAcentral. Lineage: Eukaryota; Fungi; Glomeromycota; Glomeromycetes; Glomerales; Glomeraceae.